AAUCAACGCUGGCGGCGUGCCUCAGACAUGCAAGUCGAACGCGAAAGCCCCCUUCGGGGGGCGAAGUAGAGUGGCGCACGGGUGAGUAACACGUAGGUAAUCUACCUUUGGAUGGGGAAUAACAACCGGAAACGGUUGCUAAUACCGCAUAAUGCAGCGGCACCUAAUGGUGACAGUUGUUAAAGCGGGGGAUCGAAAGACCUCGCGUCUGAAGAGGAGCCUGCGGCGGAUUAGCUUAGNGGUAAGGUAAUGGCUUACCAAGGCGACGAUCCGUAGCCGGCCUGAGAGGGCGGUCGGCCACACUGACACUGACA
Molecule: ribosomal RNA, 314 nt
Filed under: uncultured bacterium
Lineage: Bacteria
Description: bacterial SSU rRNA
Rfam family: Bacterial small subunit ribosomal RNA
Source: RNAcentral